Molecule: ribosomal RNA, 773 nt
Filed under: uncultured Neocallimastigales
Lineage: Eukaryota; Fungi; Neocallimastigomycota; Neocallimastigomycetes; Neocallimastigales
Description: partial large subunit ribosomal RNA
Rfam family: Eukaryotic large subunit ribosomal RNA
Source: RNAcentral
UAUGUGAUGUCUCUCGCAUAUCAAUAAGCGGAGGAAAAGAAACUAACAAGGAUUCCCCUAGUAACGGCGAGUGAAGCGGGAAGAGCUCAAAUUUGAAAUCUUAAAGGGUUUCCCUUUACGAAUUGUAGUUUAAAGAAGUGUUUUCUGUUGAGGUUUUGGUAAAAGUUCUUUGGAAUAGGACAUCAUAGAGGGUGAGAAUCCCGUAUUCGACCUUUACUUUCAACUUUGUGAUACACAUUCAAAGAGUCGGAUUGUUUGGGAAUGCAGUCCAAAAUGGGUGGUAAAUUUCAUCUAAAGCUAAAUAUUGGCGAGAGACCGAUAGCGAACAAGUACCGUGAGGGAAAGAUGAAAAGAACUUUGAAAAGAGAGUUAAACAGUACGUGAAAUUGUCAAAAGGGAAGCGUUUGACACCAGUGUUGUUUUUCUGAAAAUCAAUUAAAGAACUGUUUAUGCUAAGUUGUUUAGACUUUAUCAGCUAUCUGUUUAGUUUUGAGCUUUUCUUUAAUGCACUUUUCAGUUAACAAGUCAACAUCAAUUUCUUUUGCUGUAAAAAAGCUUGAGGAAGGUGGCUUGAGAUUCGUCUUAAGUGUUUAUAGCCUCUUGCCUAUGCAGUCGGAGAGAUUGAGGUCUGCAGCGUAGAUCCUUCGGGGCUAAAUGCAUUUGUGCUAAGUUAUAGCAUUUUAUAGACAACUUGUUGACUAUGAUUUGUCUUGUAGCUUACUCGCUUAUGUUAUUUUACCUACGCUUAGGAUGUUGACACACGCGCGUGCUCG